This is a non-coding RNA of Sturnus vulgaris (Common starling), 460 nucleotides long. The record is from RefSeq and is a predicted model, not a curated record. Lineage: Eukaryota; Metazoa; Chordata; Aves; Passeriformes; Sturnidae.
GCUCUGCCUGGGUGGCAGAGGCAGCUUUCCCAGCAAUGGGGAAUUAAUCCCUGCCUGCAGGAGAGCGAUGACUGAAAGGCAGGCAGCUGGUGGCACCUUGUGCCUGUUGUUUGGACAGGCCUUCCCCUUGGUUUACUGUGCAGCAGAGAGGAGCAAAGUCGAAGGACCAAUUGCUCGUGCAUUUAUCGCACAUGGAAAGGCAGCAAGGGGAUUUUUUAGCAAUAGAAAUGGCCUGGCCGCUGGAUCAGCAUGGGGUGGGCACAGGCUCUGUGCUGGUUCUGCUGUACCAACUGGUCUUAGCACAACUCCUCCCUGCCCAGAAUCCAAGACCUGGCCUCUGUCUGUGCUAUCAAGUUCAUAAGUGACAGAAGUGUGUUAACAGCUCACUUAAAAAUUUACUACUUGUUGUUGUUUAUUACAAGAGGUAAAAACAAAUGUGCUUUCCAAGCAAAAGGCAAAA